GACGAACGCUGGCGGCGUGCUUAACACAUGCAAGUCGAACGGAAAGGCCCUGCUUUUGUGGGGUGCUCGAGUGGCGAACGGGUGAGUAACACGUGAGUAACCUGCCCUUGACUUUGGGAUAACUUCAGGAAACUGGGGCUAAUACCGGAUAGGAGCUCCUGCUGCAUGGUGGGGGUUGGAAAGUUUCGGCGGUUGGGGAUGGACUCGCGGCUUAUCAGCUUGUUGGUGGGGUAGUGGCUUACCAAGGCUUUGACGGGUAGCCGGCCUGAGAGGGUGACCGGCCACAUUGGGACUGAGAUACGGCCCAGACUCCUACGGGAGGCAGCAGUGGGGAAUAUUGCACAAUGGGCGGAAGCCUGAUGCAGCAACGCCGCGUGCGGGAUGACGGCCUUCGGGUUGUAAACCGCUUUCGCCUGUGACGAAGCGUGAGUGACGGUAAUGGGUAAAGAAGCACCGGCUAACUACGUGCCAGCAGCCGCGGUGAUACGUAGGGUGCGAGCGUUGUCCGGAUUUAUUGGGCGUAAAGGGCUCGUAGGUGGUUGAUCGCGUCGGAAGUGUAAUCUUGGGGCUUAACCCUGAGCGUGCUUUCGAUACGGGUUGACUUGAGGAAGGCAGGGGAGAAUGGAAUUCCUGGUGGAGCGGUGGAAUGCGCAGAUAUCAGGAGGAACACCAGUGGCGAAGGCGGUUCUCUGGGCCUUUCCUGACGCUGAGGAGCGAAAGCGUGGGGAGCGAACAGGCUUAGAUACCCUGGUAGUCCACGCUGUAAACGGUGGGUACUAGGUGUGGGGUCCAUUCCACGGGUUCCGUGCCGUAGCUAACGCUUUAAGUACCCCGCCUGGGGAGUACGGCCGCAAGGCUAAAACUCAAAGGAAUUGACGGGGCCCCGCACAAGCGGCGGAGCAUGCGGAUUAAUUCGAUGCAACGCGUAGAACCUUACCUGGGUUUGACAUGGAUCGGGAGUGCUCAGAGAUGGGUGUGCCUCUUUUGGGGUCGGUUCACAGGUGGUGCAUGGCUGUCGUCAGCUCGUGUCGUGAGAUGUUGGGUUAAGUCCCGCAACGAGCGCAACCCUUGUUCACUGUUGCCAGCACGUUAUGGUGGGGACUCAGUGGAGACCGCCGGGGUCAACUCGGAGGAAGGUGGGGAUGACGUCAAGUCAUCAUGCCCCUUAUGUCCAGGGCUUCACGCAUGCUACAAUGGCUGGUACAGAGAGUGGCGAGCCUGUGAGGGUGAGCGAAUCUCGGAAAGCCGGUCUCAGUUCGGAUUGGGGUCUGCAACUCGACCUCAUGAAGUCGGAGUCGCUAGUAAUCGCAGAUCAGCAACGCUGCGGUGAAUACGUUCCCGGG
This 1343-nucleotide ribosomal RNA is filed under the name uncultured bacterium. RNAcentral describes it as "16S ribosomal RNA". It matches the Rfam family "Bacterial small subunit ribosomal RNA", at positions 28 to 1378 of the family's 1533-position model. The record is from RNAcentral.